CCUACGGGGGGCAGCAGUGGGGAAUAUUGGGCAAUGGGCGCAAGCCUGACGCAGCAACGCCGCGUGAAGGAAGAAGGCUUUCGGGUUGUAAACUUCUUUUCUCAGGGACGAAGCAAGUGACGGUACCUGAGGAAUAAGCUACGGCUAACUACGUGCCAGCAGCCGCGGUAAUACGUAGGUGGCAACGGUUAUCCGGAUUUACUGGGUGUAAAGGGCGGGUAGGCGGGGACGCAAGUGAGAUGUGAAAACCACGGGCUCAACCUGUGGACUGCAUUUGAAACUGUGUUGCUUGAGUACUGGAGAGGCAGACGGAAUUCCUAGUGUAGCGGUGAAAUGCGUAGAGAUGAGGAGGAACACCAGAGGCGAAGGCAGUCUGCUGGACAGCUACUGACGCUGAGGCGCGAAAGCGUGGGGAGCAAACAGGAUUAGAUACCCGAGUAGUC
RNAcentral lists this ribosomal RNA (443 nucleotides) under uncultured bacterium. RNAcentral's name for it is "partial 16S ribosomal RNA". It matches the Rfam family "Bacterial small subunit ribosomal RNA", at positions 338 to 795 of the family's 1533-position model. The record is from RNAcentral.